CAGCAACAGUGUGAAGGUGUAGACAAAGCAAAUCUAUUUGUUGGAUAUGGUAAACUGCACCAAAUAAUAAAUGAAUUGAAACUAGUACAUGAAGGCAUAGCUUGAUAGAAAACUAAAUGCACCAUUUAAGCUCUGUGAUGAAAAGCUUCACUAUUUUCAAACUUCAGCACUGGUCAGAAACACUAGAGGGCAAGUGGAACAAGACUAAUGGGUGAGAGGACAUAAAGUGAUUAGCAGAGGCCUGUAAUAAGAAGUCAAAUGCAACCCAUUUAAAAAUGAAACUUAGCUGCUUCUGAGCCUGGAAGAGUCCAAGGUAACCAUCAGGCCCUCCUUGGCAGCUAUCCAAUGCGUUCUAUCAGCCACCCCUAAAAUCUGUUAUUGGAUUAAAUAGAUGUGUCUGGCUCCACAUUUAGAGCUCUUCAGUAGCUUCCCAAAGACAUCUGUCAUGAUUGUAACUAGCUAUACUUGCCUGUAUACCUACCUCUAGCUGCACCUUCACUUCUUUAUCCCCACCAAGCAUUUAACCUACUACCAUUAUUUAAUAACAUAUAGGACUCAAAGCAUAGCCUGGUAUCACAUUUUUGUCAGGCAUUCCUGACACACACAUUGUGUCAGGCAUUGUGUCAGGCAUUCCAUAUAUUUGUGCUAAGUUACUCUGUGCAAUAUACAAAAUAGGAGAAUUUAUAAUAUCUUUGUCAGCAUACAUACAGACACUGAUAGAGUGAUCCCUAGUUCCAUUUGGAAUGUUAUUGUAAAAGAUUUAUGCAAGAAAAAUAUGUCUCUUAAGUAAAAAAAAAAACCCAAAACAAUAAUUCAAAAAACUCUGCCAAACCUUAAAGCAAAUAGGCAUAAAGUGUUACCAAGAUAGCAAGAAAAAAAAAUCCCAAUAUAUUAUCUACAUUCUUGAGAAAUAUUGCAAGCAUAUGAUGGUAUUUAUUUCAACAUGUACAGCCAAAAAAGAAGAGUAAUAAACCAUUUUUUAAAUAUCUUGAAAUGACACUAAUUUGGUUUAAUCCAGAGAGCACUGACUGCUUGCAGGGACAGAGAGCCCUGUGGAGCAACAGAUAAUGUACUAGAUGUGAUCUCUCUUCACUUUACAAAGGACAUUGAGACCUGGAGUGUGCUCAGUGAAGGGUAAGGACGCUCAUGAAAGUUCUAGAAACACGUCUUAAGAGGAGCAGCUAAGGGAGCUGAGUUUGUUUAGUCUUGAGGAGGCUCAAGGGAGGAGCUCAUCACUUUCUACAACUAUCUGAAAGGAGGCUGUGGUGAGGUGGGGACCAGUCUCUUCCACUGGCCUUGCAGUGAGAGGACCAGAGGACCAGGCUUUAAGCUGAGACAGGGGAGAUUCAGAAUGGAUAACAGAAAAAAUGUUUUCACUGUUAGGGUGGUCAUGCAUUGGAAUAGGUUGCUUAGGGAGGUUGCUUCCAGGGAGCCACCAUCCCUGGAAGUGUUUAAGAGGCACCUGGAUGUGGUGCUGGGUGAUGGUUUAGGGGUUACAGUGGUAGUACUGGGUAGACGGUUGAACUGGAUGCUUUUAGAAGUCUCUUCUAACCUUGACAAUUCUAUAAUUCUAUGAUUUUUGGUCAGUUUUUGGCCACGUUCUCAUGGAAACCCCUGUAAAACAAAAUUUGCUGGUAGUUUGUAUAACAUGAGUUAAGGCUCAGGUCAGCUUCCCAUUUGGACUCCAGAAGAAGCUUUGAAAUGAUUUUGAGACAUUGCUACACCUUUCAAAGCUCAGCUGACACUGCAAGCUGUAGAAUGUAAAGCUUGAAGGAAAACAAACAAAAGUGUUGUAGUUAGACCAUAUUUUAAAAUUUGCAAGUGUCUCCAGGAAGAGUUAGACAAGGAUAUAUUUGUGGAAAUUAAUCUACAAAUUUACUCAGAAGGAUAAGUGGAUGUAGGGUGGCAAAAAUGUGCUGGAAAUUAAAUUGAAAACAAAUGGUUGUUAAUUGAUGGGCAUUAUGCAUAUUCAGAUCCUGCAUGAGCAGCAUAAGAUGGUGUUAAUGAGAGGUGACAUUAAAUAUUAUGUAAAUUAUGCUUCAUGUCAAAAAAACGUAUGGUACUUUAACCAUGGUUCAGGCAGUUUUCACAUUCUCUUGCUACAUUUACAGAAUGCAGCUGUCCAGACUAGUUAUAUUUACUCACAUGCAAUGAAAUAGCUCAGUGUAGAUGAACCAGCACAGACCACAGGAAGAAGCACAGCAGUAGCACUGUGGCACUCUGGCUCAGCAGCCUUAUUUCACACUUAAAAAGCUUCUGAAUUGAGAAAUAGCUUCUGCUCUUUGUUCAGUAAGCUCAAGUUUGUGCAGUAGAGUUAUCAAAGCAGACCAACAGCUGACCUGAACUGGGAUGUCAGCACAUACUAAAACUGCGUGUUUGUUUUUUUUUUUUUUUUCUUCAAUUUAAAAAGUAAGGGUUGGACAGGAUGCAGGUGAUCUCAUGGGAGUCCUCUAAAAUCCACCUAUUGUUAAGAGCCUCUGAAUUUAUUUUAAUUCUUUUCAGGCUUGAACCAUGAAUUGGGAAAUCUUGUGUAUUGACUGAAAGCAAAAUCCUGACUUUCUAUGAGUUUCCCUGUAAAGCACUUAGUUUGUGAUGGGUAAAAGCAUGUCUUUCUUGGAAACACUUUGUCUUGCUUCCAAUGCAUUAUGACAUUCUGGAUUCAAUGAAGCUCUGGAUUAGUUUAUCUGGGGCCCAUUAGCACAUGUUUGUCAUCACCCAGGACCAAAAUAGAAAAUGGCCUUAUUUCUUAUUCCUAAGAAAUGUUAAAGUGUUUGGUGGGAUCGUGAUUAAGUCUCCUGAUAUCAGAAAUAAAAACAAUGUUUUUGUUGGGGGAUGGGGAGUGUCAGGAAUCAUAAGGCUGUACAAAAACUGUAAUCUCUUACUGGAAUGUGGCUUUGGACUGUGCUAGGAAUUGCUUACUCAUGCUGAGCUGCCCCUGGGAGUCAUGAGACUUUUGUUGUGGUCACAUGCUUGUAAUCACCAUGGUGUAGGAUGUUUAUCAAAGUCACUGAGGGAAUAAAAGCACUGUGCUUUUUAAAGCAGGGCCUGCGGUAUGAAAUACAUUUGCUUCAUUUUCUGUAGAAUAAUGAGCUCACAGAAUCUUUUACCAAUGUUCAUUUGAAUGUAGUCAUCACCUUCCCUACACAGUCUUAUUUUGUACUUAAAAACCUGCAGUUACA
Long non-coding RNA from Hirundo rustica (Barn swallow), 3179 nucleotides. RefSeq lists it as uncharacterized. NCBI's taxonomy places the organism in Eukaryota, Metazoa, Chordata, Aves, Passeriformes, Hirundinidae. The transcript is spliced from 3 exons. The record is from RefSeq and is a predicted model, not a curated record.